Molecule: long non-coding RNA, 345 nt
Filed under: Zea mays
Lineage: Eukaryota; Viridiplantae; Streptophyta; Magnoliopsida; Poales; Poaceae
Description: long non-coding RNA (ZMAY_LNC005727)
Source: RNAcentral
UUGGCUGCAAAGGAGGAAAAACACACACGUGUCCCCACUUCUUAACUGAGCAUUAGCAGUUCCAGAGUAAAAAAUGUUACAUACACAAGACAUUUGCGAUGUUGUUAUAUAAUGAUCCAAACAGGACGUGUCCCGAAAGAUGAAUAAUCAUCCCAGACAGGUUCUUGAAUCGUAUAUAUAUAUCACAUACUUGAAGAUACACUCCAGAUAUCCUGAAAGGUCUACGGGACAAGCAAAAACACAAUUGACACGAAAGAUAAGACAUCAACAAAAAUGCCCGCCUUUCAUCUGCUCUCUAAAACUGCUUGCUGGUCUUUUUCAAUCUUCGGUUUUCGCCUUUUCUAG